Molecule: unclassified non-coding RNA, 214 nt
Filed under: Hevea brasiliensis (rubber tree)
Lineage: Eukaryota; Viridiplantae; Streptophyta; Magnoliopsida; Malpighiales; Euphorbiaceae
Source: RNAcentral
AUGACAGACCUACUAGCUUUGAACUACUGUCAAUGACAAGAUACUUUAUUUCUUCUCACAGUUAUUUAAGUAUUAAAGAGGAUUGUAAGUUAAAUAAUAAAUUUAACAGAAAUUCAUAAAAGCAGAAUAGAGCAAUUUUAACUGUAUGCAGAUAUCAGACGUUGGAACAGCUGAUAAGAAACCUAUUCUUCAUGUCUUAUUAAGAUGUUGUAUA